GAUGAACGCUGGCGGCGUGCUUAACACAUGCAAGUCGAACGGAAAGGCCCAAGCUUGCUUGGGUACUCGAGUGGCGAACGGGUGAGUAACACGUGGGUGAUCUGCCCUGCACUUUGGGAUAAGCCUGGGAAACUGGGUCUAAUACCGGAUAGGACCACUUCUUGGAUGUUGUGGUGGAAAGUUUUUUCGGUGUGGGAUGAGCUCGCGGCCUAUCAGCUUGUUGGUGGGGUAAUGGCCUACCAAGGCGUCGACGGGUAGCCGGCCUGGGAGGGUGUACGGCCACAUUGGGACUGAGAUACGGCCCAGACUCCUACGGGAGGCAGCAGUGGGGAAUAUUGCACAAUGGGCGCAAGCCUGAUGCAGCGACGCCGCGUGGGGGAUGACGGCCUUCGGGUUGGAAACUCCUUUCGCUAGGGACGAAGCGUUUUGUGACGGUACCUGGAGAAGAAGCACCGGCUAACUACGUG
This 467-nucleotide ribosomal RNA is filed under the name uncultured bacterium. RNAcentral describes it as "partial 16S ribosomal RNA". It matches the Rfam family "Bacterial small subunit ribosomal RNA", at positions 28 to 507 of the family's 1533-position model. The record is from RNAcentral.